UUGUCUCAAAGAUUAAGCCAUGCAUGUCUCAGUACAAGCCGAAUUAAGGUGAAACCGCGAAAGGCUCAUUAAAUCAGUUAUGGUUCCUUAGAUCGUACCCACAUUUACUUGGAUAACUGUGGUAAUUCUAGAGCUAAUACAUGCAAACAGAGCUCCGACCGGAGACGGAAGGAGCGCUUUUAUUAGAUCAAAACCAAUCGGUGGCGGUCCCCGUCAUCGUACAACUUGGUGACUCUGAAUAACUUUACGCUGAUCGCACGGUCUUGCACCGGCGACGCAUCUUUCAAAUGUCUGCCUUAUCAACUGUCGAUGGUAGGUUCUGCGCCUACCAUGGUUGUAACGGGUAACGGGGAAUCAGGGUUCGAUUCCGGAGAGGGAGCCUGAGAAACGGCUACCACAUCCAAGGAAGGCAGCAGGCGCGCAAAUUACCCACUCCCGGCACGGGGAGGUAGUGACGAAAAAUAACGAUACGGGACUCAUCCGAGGCCCCGUAAUCGGAAUGAGUACACUCUAAACCCUUUAACGAGGAUCAAUUGGAGGGCAAGUCUGGUGCCAGCAGCCGCGGUAAUUCCAGCUCCAAUAGCGUAUAUUAAAGUUGUUGCGGUUAAAAAGCUCGUAGUCGAAUCUGUGUCCCGCGCCACCGGUUCAUCGUUCGCGGUGUUAACUGGUGUGCCGCGGGACGUCCUGCCGGUGGGCUUAGCUCGCGAGGGCGGCCCAACUCAAUCCCGCCGCGGUGCUCUUCAUUGAGUGUCGAGGUGGGCCGGCACGUUUACUUUGAACAAAUUAGAGUGCUUAAAGCAGGCUAAAACUUCGCCUGAAUAUGUGUGCAUGGAAUAAUGGAAUAGGACCUCGGUUCUAUUUUGUUGGUUUUCGGAACCCCGAGGUAAUGAUUAAUAGGAACGGAUGGGGGCAUUCGUAUUGCGACGUUAGAGGUGAAAUUCUUGGAUCGUCGCAAGACGGACAGAAGCGAAAGCAUUUGCCAAAAACGCUUUCAUUGAUCAAGAACGAAAGUUAGAGGUUCGAAGGCGAUCAGAUACCGCCCUAGUUCUAACCAUAAACGAUGCCAGCUAGCGAUCCGCCGACGUUCCUCCGAUGACUCGGCGGGCAGCUUCCGGGAAACCAAAGCUUUUGGGUUCCGGGGGAAGUAUGGUUGCAAAGCUGAAACUUAAAGGAAUUGACGGAAGGGCACCACCAGGAGUGGAGCCUGCGGCUUAAUU
RNAcentral lists this ribosomal RNA (1217 nucleotides) under Erodius emondi. RNAcentral describes it as "SSU rRNA". It matches the Rfam family "Eukaryotic small subunit ribosomal RNA", at positions 32 to 1195 of the family's 1831-position model. Lineage: Eukaryota; Metazoa; Arthropoda; Insecta; Coleoptera; Tenebrionidae. The record is from RNAcentral.